GAGGAAUAUUGGGCAAUGCCCGCAAGGGUGACCCAGCAACGCCGCGUGGAGGAUGAAAGCCGUAAGGUUGUAAACUCCUGUGAGAGGGGACGAAUGAUUACGUUUCGUAAGGAACGUGAAGUGACUGUACCCUCAGAGGAAGCCCCGGCUAACUACGUGCCAGCAGCCGCGGUAAUACGUAGGGGGGCAAGCGUUGUCCGGAUUUACUGGGUGUAAAGGGCGCGUAGGCGGGUUGAUAAGUUAGAGGUGAAAUCCUGCGGCUUAACCGCAGAACUGCCCCUAAUACUGUCAAUCUUGAGUUCAGAAGAGAGAAGCGGAAUUCCAGGUGUAGUGGUGAAAUACGUAGAUAUCUGGAAGAACACCAGUUGCGAAGGCGGCUUCUUGGUCUGACACUGACGCUGAGGCGCGAAAGCGUGGGGAGCAAACAG
This 428-nucleotide ribosomal RNA is filed under the name uncultured bacterium. Its description in RNAcentral is "bacterial SSU rRNA". It matches the Rfam family "Bacterial small subunit ribosomal RNA", at positions 356 to 775 of the family's 1533-position model. The record is from RNAcentral.